This is a small nucleolar RNA of Varanus komodoensis (Komodo dragon), 72 nucleotides long. The record is from Ensembl. NCBI's taxonomy places the organism in Eukaryota, Metazoa, Chordata, Lepidosauria, Squamata, Varanidae.
CGUGCGCGUGAUGAUGCUCUAGCGACCAAAGUCUGACUGGUUGUGAUUGCAGCCAAUGGCGACUGAUGCACC